This 621-nucleotide ribosomal RNA is filed under the name Lactobacillus delbrueckii subsp. bulgaricus. Its description in RNAcentral is "partial 23S ribosomal RNA". It matches the Rfam family "Bacterial large subunit ribosomal RNA", at positions 591 to 1211 of the family's 2925-position model. The record is from RNAcentral. Lineage: Bacteria; Bacillati; Bacillota; Bacilli; Lactobacillales; Lactobacillaceae.
GGGUAAUGGCGUGCCUUUUGUAGAAUGAACCGGCGAGUUGCGUUAGUCAGCAAGGUUAAGUCAGAAAAGACGGAGCCGUAGCGAAAGCGAGUCUGAAGAGGGCGAGCAGUUGGCUGACGCAGACCCGAAACCAAGUGACCUACCCAUGACCAGGUUGAAGGCGCGGUAAAACGCGCUGGAGGACCGAACCCACGUAAGUUGAAAAUUGCGGGGAUGAGUUGUGGGUAGCGGUGAAAUUCCAAACGAACUUGGAGAUAGCUGGUUCUCUCCGAAAUAGCUUUAGGGCUAGCCUCGCAAAGAGGAUGCUGGAGGUAGAGCUCUGUUUGGACUAGGGGCCCGUCAAGGGUUACUGAAUUCAGAUAAACUGCGAAUUCCAGACAUUUAUGUGCGGGAGUCAGACUGCGAGUGAUAAGAUCCGUAGUCGAAAGGGAAACAGCCCAGAUCACCAGUUAAGGUCCCAAAAUUCAUGCUAAGUGGAAAAGGAUGUGGAGUUGCGCAGACAACUAGGACGUUGGCUCAGAAGCAGCCAUCAUUCAAAGAGUGCGUAAUAGCUCACUAGUCGAGUGACGCCGCGCCGAAAAUUUACCGGGGCUAAGCAUGAUACCGAAACUGUGGAUGUGC